This 232-nucleotide ribosomal RNA is filed under the name uncultured bacterium. Its description in RNAcentral is "partial 16S ribosomal RNA". It matches the Rfam family "Bacterial small subunit ribosomal RNA", at positions 89 to 334 of the family's 1533-position model. The record is from RNAcentral.
AGUCGAGUGGCGGACGGGUGAGUAACGCGUAGGAACCUGUCACCGGGUGGGGGAUACCACGGGGAAACCCGUGCUAAUACCGCAUGCGAUGGGCAACCAUGAAAGCAGCAAUGCGCCGGGUGAGGGGCCUGCGUCCGAUUAGCUAGUUGGUGGGGUAAAGGCCUACCAAGGCGACGAUCGGUAGCUGGUCUGAGAGGAUGGUCAGCCACACUGGGACUGAGACACGGCCCAG